Molecule: ribosomal RNA, 253 nt
Filed under: uncultured bacterium
Lineage: Bacteria
Description: partial 16S ribosomal RNA
Rfam family: Bacterial small subunit ribosomal RNA
Source: RNAcentral
CGUAGGGUGCAAGCGUUGUCCGGAAUUAUUGGGCGUAAAGAGCUCGUAGGCGGUUUGUCGCGUCUGCUGUGAAAUCCCGAGGCUCAACCUCGGGUCUGCAGUGGGUACGGGCAGACUAGAGUGCGGUAGGGGAGAUUGGAAUUCCUGGUGUAGCGGUGGAAUGCGCAGAUAUCAGGAGGAACACCGAUGGCGAAGGCAGAUCUCUGGGCCGUAACUGACGCUGAGGAGCGAAAGCAUGGGAGCGAACAGGAUU